Molecule: long non-coding RNA, 1896 nt
Filed under: Homo sapiens (human)
Lineage: Eukaryota; Metazoa; Chordata; Mammalia; Primates; Hominidae
Description: HSALNT0298912
Source: RNAcentral
GUCAAACCAGAGGCUGCCUUAGGGCAGUGAUUCCUUCUCACAUUCCCAUUAAAACCAUGUACCUAUAAAAAGGUAGCUCCAUGUCACCACAGUGGUGACCCUUCUCUCUGACUCAUUUCCCAUUAUGAGCACAAUUAGCGUGCAGCAUGUGUCCUGGGAGAUUAAUGAUCCGCUGGAGGGAAGAAAGAGGAACUUGGGGAAUGGAUCUGGGUGUAGUCAGAGCUCGCCUCUCCCUGGGAGCUGCCUUGGUGCUGUAAAGUUCUUUGUCUCUGAUCCAGGAUCUCAUGUCUUUUGCCAGCUUUGAUGAAACUUGCUAGUUGGAAAGCAGAGUGAAAUCUCAGGCUCUACAACUCUUGACAUAAGUAUUUUAUUCAUUUUUGGUGUCUAUGUUCUUGAAGUACUUAAGAGAUUUGGGGCUAUGCAAGUAAUAGACCAACUUUGUGAUUCAUAUUAAAAUUAAGUGAUUUAAACGCAGGAUUUUUAAUUUGAAAUUAUUUAAGUUUAUAAACAGUAUGGGAACAUUUAGAAAGACCUGGAUUCAUUCUGUUUAUAAUUGUAAUCCAUUAAAUUUAUGAAAAUUACCUAAGAAAUCUGAAAAGGUUUGGUUUAGCCAUCAGGCAAUUGAAGUACCUAAACAAGGAAAUAAAAUAUAUUAAAUUUAUAAAUCUUACUUUAAAUGUUUGAAUGAGUUAAAUAACUCCGUUUGUAUUGGGACCAAACUCUUUAACUCUUUAAGACUGCCUUAAAUCAUUUUGUUAAAAAUCUUAGAUUGAUUUCCACUUCUAUGUAGAGAGUUAGAAAGUAUAUCACCUCUACCCUAACAACAAGAAUAUGACAAAUGAAAUACAAAAUGAUAAUGUUCCUUGAACUCAUCAGAGGACUGACAUCACAGGGCAACUAAGCAACUAGAAUUCCAAAGAAGGACAAGCCCCUCCAAAGACAGGAAGCAUGAGGGCAGGCUCAUCAGUGUCAGAGCAGGGGAGACCAGCACAGACACCUUACAAGCAGAAUGACCUUCUGUGGCUACAGAGAAAGGCUUCAGGCAAAGAGAUGCAGCUCUGGGCCCCAGAGUCCGCUGGAGCACACUGAAGCUGGAGCACACUGAAGUGGAAGAUGGGGCUGCAGACAGAGACUGGGCAGCCUCUGCUCCAGGGAGGCCCGAGAGCCAGAGAGCAGAUUCCAUAAGAAGAAUAACUCCCAUUCCUCAUGCAUGAGACCCUCUGCUAAAUGCUUCCUGUGCACCACCUCCAGAAAUCCUCCCAAGCCAGGACACCAGCAGUAUUACAGGAACUGGAUGACAAAAAGAAGAGCCGAUAUAACCAGGAACCUACUCUGGCCACCCCAAGUAAGGAUCUAAAGUCCAGCCUCCUCCUCCACUGCCCUCAAGGCCUUUCCUCAUGAAAGCAGAGGUUCUGAAUGCUGAUUUCUGUUUUAAAGCCCAAUAACUCUUUAAACAUCUUGUGUGUGUGGUGUGUGUGUGUGUGUGUAGGGGGAAGGGAAGGAGACUGGGGUAGAUAGCUCCAGGAGAUAUAAAGAAAACAGCAAAAUAGCCAGCAUAUUCCCUGCCUUCCAGGUGCUCCGCAUCAAGACUCAGCUGCAGAGAUGACUUCAGUGCAAGUCACAUACACACCAUUGGGCUGGUACCCGUGGCAGCUCUGCAGGGCUUCCAUAUGUGAGUGCCUGGGACCAAGCCGCAAUGGUCAGGAGGGACUUCCUAGAGGAGGAGAACUUCCAACAGAUUUAGAAGAGAGGGGUCACUUAGGGCGGAAGUUCAGGCUCUCUUUCAACAAAACUCCAUGGCUUCCUGGUAGUAGCAAGAUUCUUUAAAAAUGCAGUGCAGUGCUGGUUCAGGCCCCAGCUCCCCACCUGUAGACAUGAGACCCUGAUCCAGAUGUA